This is a long non-coding RNA of Diabrotica virgifera virgifera (western corn rootworm), 1038 nucleotides long. RefSeq lists it as uncharacterized. The record is from RefSeq and is a predicted model, not a curated record. The transcript has 3 exons. NCBI's taxonomy places the organism in Eukaryota, Metazoa, Arthropoda, Insecta, Coleoptera, Chrysomelidae.
AACCAUACAUACUCAUAGACGUUUCACGUAAAUUGUCAAGGUCAAGACAGCAAAUUAGUUACCAUUCCAAUCCAGAGAUGUCGCUGUCAGUCAAUUCUCUUGUCAUAUUUAAAACUGACAGUUGACAAUUAAAUUAAUUUGUUAUUUACUUUUUAUUUUACAGUUUGUGGCUUAAAUAUUUUAUUAUAGUGGUGUUACGUUUUUAAUUAGAUUUAAUCACAAUUUUAAUCAAUUGUAUUAACCUCCUCUCCGUUUUUGUGAGUAGAAUUUUUAGUUUACAUUGAUCAUUCCGUGUUGUGUUUCUCCACAUUUAAAAAAGAAUAUAAUAGAUCCUGAAACAGUUUAUUCUAAUAGACAAGUGUGUCAUCAACAUUUUGGGCCUAUAUAUUUUUGGAAGUUUGUAAAAGAAUAUAAGAUACUGUUACAGUCCCUGGUUGGUUUAUAGGAUAAAACAAUGGUAGUACAGUAGACUCGCGAUUAUCCUAGUCUAGGUUAUCCGAGUCCUCCGGUUAACCGAGGCAAAAGUCAGAACUGUACACCGCUCACUACAAAUUUCACAUUUAUAAGUUCUUUCACCGGUAUAAGUUUUCAAAAGUUCUUUGGGAGCACCGAAUGGUUUGGUAACUUUCCCUGAAAUAAAAACCAAAUUAUAAAUAAGGAUUUGUUUUUUACUAAAGAAAAAAACUAGACCCAAAACUAGAUGGAAGAACCAGAUAGUCGAGGACCUUAAGAAGAUGGGAGUCAGGGAAUGGGUAACCGUAAACAAAAACAGGAAAGAAUGGAGAAAACUUGUAGAAGAUGCCAAGUCACACAACCAAUUGUAAAACCAAAAUGUUAAUGCGGAUUGAUUCACUGCGACAAACGAAUCGGAAGAGCCCAAAGAGGGCGGCAGUCACUCCGCUAGGACUGUAGAUGCCAUGAUGAUGAUAAAGGUUUUUCACCAGUGCGAACUCUCAUAUGAUAAUUUAAACUACUUAGUUGAUUAAACUGUUUUGUUUAAUUUAGUACUUUGUAUUUUGACAACGACACCCGAUUUGU